RNAcentral lists this long non-coding RNA (398 nucleotides) under Brassica rapa (field mustard). Its description in RNAcentral is "long non-coding RNA (BRAP_LNC000260)". The record is from RNAcentral. Lineage: Eukaryota; Viridiplantae; Streptophyta; Magnoliopsida; Brassicales; Brassicaceae.
UGCUUUCAGUUAAUUUACAAGUCCGGUGUACGAAUUUAUCCGUGGAUCACGCACCUUCAUAAAAGUCUAUUUGGAUUUGAAAUCUAUUCUUGAAUUAUCAUAUAAAAGAAUGUAUUAUGAUGGAUAAGAAUACAUGUCAUUAACCAUUUCAGAAUUGAUGGUGUAGCCAUACAAUAAAACUCAAACUAGUCAAAUGAUUGAGUAGUUAGACGAUUCAUGAGCAAAAUCAUGAAGACCAACUCACCCUAACUAUACAGUCUAUAUAGAUUAAAUAAAACUAAAGAGCGAAAUAUAAGAGAGUCAAGCUCAUUCUCAAAAAAAAAAAAACAUACAAGAGAGUCUAAAUAAAUUCAUCUAAAACUAAAUGUCUGAACUUGACAUGUUAAAUUUGGUAUACC